GCUCUGGUAGCUCAGUUGGAAGAGCGGUGCCAUCCGAUGAUGAAUUGGACAAUUUCGUUUAAUGCACCGGCGCAUGUUCGAACCAUGCCCAGAGCC
Mycena vulgaris is the source of this 96-nucleotide non-coding RNA. The record is from the annotation of a GenBank genome assembly. NCBI's taxonomy places the organism in Eukaryota, Fungi, Basidiomycota, Agaricomycetes, Agaricales, Mycenaceae.